Molecule: long non-coding RNA, 402 nt
Organism: Haliotis rufescens (red abalone)
Lineage: Eukaryota; Metazoa; Mollusca; Gastropoda; Lepetellida; Haliotidae
Exons: 3
Source: RefSeq, a predicted model, not a curated record
CUUCCGGCUUCAGGGCUGUAUGGAGAUCUGCUCCUACGAUAUCUGGUCUACCUUCCACAUACCGAGUGAACAAGUCAAGUAGAUUGCGGCUAGACUGUAGUUCCUACACACGGUCAGCUACAACACCUACAUACAGGUGGACGAACAGAGGGUUAACUGUUAGCACAGGGGCUGUACUCGACAUAGUCAACAUCAACAAGAAUCAAGCUGGACAGUACACCUGCACUGCCACGAACACAGUGGGGGCUGACUCAGCAACUGUCAAUGUGGUGGUACAAUAUUCACCUGAAAUAUCUGGCCUCCCAUCAACAUACCAAGUGACCGAGUCAACUACUUUAAGACUGGACUGUAGUUCAUAUACAACACAUGGCUACCCUUCUGCAACAACCUACAAUUGGUCAC